Molecule: unclassified non-coding RNA, 197 nt
Filed under: uncultured Chytridiomycota
Lineage: Eukaryota; Fungi; Chytridiomycota
Description: sequence contains ITS1
Source: RNAcentral
ACAAUUAUUAUUGGGCUCUUCCCUCCCCCUUCACCGGGUGGGCGGUAGGUUCUCUAACACUUGUGUGCACUGUUUAUUGUCUCUCGGCGUUUGAGGGUUGGGUAAUGCCCUUGGGCUUUGGCCUACCCCCCGAGCGCCAAUUUUUAAACUUAAUUUUUAUACUAUAAGCCUUUAAUUUUAAAUUUAUAAUUUGAAAA